AUCGCUUGAACCCAGGAGGCAGAGGUUUCAGUGAGCCAAGAUCAUGCCAUUGCACUCCAGCCUGGGCAACAAGAGCGAAAUUCCACCUCAAAAAAAAAAGAAAGAAAAAAAGAGGAUGACAACACUGUUUUGGGGAGCAGGAAUGGGAGCCGCAGCCAGGAAGAGGAAAUAGGGAUGUGGGAUUUAUGGAGACAGGAACAGGGUCUGGGAGCCAGCGAUGAGGAAGUCCUCUCAAUAGCUAAAGCAGGGCCCAGGCUUGGUUCCCCAAAGCUGAGGGCAAAGCCUGUGGACACAGCUGCCCUCUGCAUCCUGCCUCACCUCCUAUACGCCCGUCCUCAGGUUCUGGCCUGCCAUUGACGAUGGGCUGCGGCGGGCCGCCUACGAGCGUGGCGUCAAGGUGCGCCUGCUCAUCAGCUGCUGGGGACACUCGGAGCCAUCUAUGCGGGCCUUCCUGCUCUCCCUGGCUGCCCUGCGUGACAACCAUACCCACUCUGACAUCCAGGUGAAACUCUUUGUGGUCCCCGCGGAUGAGGCCCAGGCUCGAAUCCCAUAUGCCCGUGUCAACCACAAUAAGUACAUGGUGACUGAACGCGCCACCUACAUCGGAACCUCCAACUGGUCUGGCAACUACUUCACGGAGACGGCGGGCACCUCGCUGCUGGUGACGCAGAAUGGGAGGGGCGGCCUGCGCAGCCAGCUGGAGGCCAUUUUCCUGAGGGACUGGGACUCCCCUUACAGCCAUGACCU
RNAcentral lists this small RNA (747 nucleotides) under Pongo abelii (Sumatran orangutan). RNAcentral's name for it is "retained intron". The record is from RNAcentral. Lineage: Eukaryota; Metazoa; Chordata; Mammalia; Primates; Hominidae.